ACUUAGGUAGCUUAAUUUUAGAGCGUAGUACUGAAGAUACUAAGGUAAUUAAUUAAUUUUUAAGUA
RNAcentral lists this transfer RNA (66 nucleotides) under Aesalus sp. JL-2019. RNAcentral describes it as "tRNA-Phe". It matches the Rfam family "tRNA". From Rfam's summary of the family: Transfer RNA (tRNA) molecules are approximately 80 nucleotides in length. Their secondary structure includes four short double-helical elements and three loops (D, anti-codon, and T loops). Further hydrogen bonds mediate the characteristic L-shaped molecular structure. tRNAs have two regions of fundamental functional importance: the anti-codon, which is responsible for specific mRNA codon recognition, and the 3' end, to which the tRNAs corresponding amino acid is attached (by aminoacyl-tRNA synthetases). tRNAs cope with the degeneracy of the genetic code in two manners: having more than one tRNA (with a specific anti-codon) for a particular amino acid; and 'wobble' base-pairing, i.e. permitting non-standard base-pairing at the 3rd anti-codon position. The record is from RNAcentral. Lineage: Eukaryota; Metazoa; Arthropoda; Insecta; Coleoptera; Lucanidae.